CAUCAAUAUUAGAUUUAACACCAGCCUUGUAUCUUACAGUUCAGUUCUUAUGUACUUGGUGUAAAAGAUGUUCAGUUCUUAUAAACUUGUAGAAGUUAUAUUGAUUAAUUGUUUUGGCAACACAGCAUAUUGUCCAGUGCACAUGGUUAAAGAUGCACUACCUUCAAAUAUUUUCUGUUCUUCUUUUUAGUGUUGGAAAGUUCACGAUUGGCAAAUUUCAAGCUGUAGUAAAUGCACAACCUCAAAAACAAUUAAGAAAGCAAUUUGUUGGAACAUGAAGAAAGCAGAAAGCAAUUUGUUGGAACAUGAAGAAAUCAAUUUGUUGGAACAUGAAGAACCCAGAAAGCAAUUUGUUGGAACAUGAAGACCUUCAAAUAUGUUUUCUGUUUGAUCAAAGGCCUUAAUGAAACAAAACUGCUUCCUGUUAUCAUCUAGGUCAUUACAUUGGAUGGCAUUUGUGCAUGUAGGACAGUUGCAGAUCGUAAUAGAUUUAUGGACCUAAACUCAAAUUUAUGGAACUAAAUUAUAUGGAUUUAUGGAACUAAAAUCAAAUUAAAUAUGGAUUGAUAAUAUGGAUAAAAAAUAUGGAUUUAUGGAACUAAAAUCAAAUCAAAGUGUUGUUUACAUUUUUGGGGUUGUACAACUUGUACAUAGUAGAAUACACUAGAUGUUAAAGUUUCAUUUACUUGGUUCCCUUUGUAAAAGCAACACUACAACUUACAUGCACCAACAUCCGGUUUGUUGCAAGUUGAAACCAAUUUUAUUGCCUGAUAUAUUUUACUCUGCCAACAAGUCUUAAUAACUAAGGGGCUAUUUACAUGAGCCCGACUAGUCCUGUUAACUGAGGCACCCAGCUUAAUACAAAUCAUUUAACAAGAAUCUGCCUAGCCGAGAUCUCACUUGAGUCAAAGAGGAUGCCCGGAUAACCGGGCUGAAAUUUCUCCAUGUAAAGUCACCAGCUCAGGUAACCUCCUGGCUAGCCAGGCCUUCAGCCUGGUUAACUGGGCCAGCCUGCAUGGCUAGCCGGGCUCAUGUAAACAGCCCCUAAGGUGAUAGCAACAAUAAUGUACUUGGUGCUAAAUGUAACAUAAACUUGAGUAACAGAGAAAAUUCUCAUAUUCAGAUUAUUUUCCCCUCAUUGUAGAGUAAACUGUUAAUAUGUAUCUUAAAAACUAGAGUGUGUAUUAGAAUCUGACAGAUUUAUAAUUAAACUGUUGUUAAGAUAAAUCAGGUCUUUUAUUGUCUGUUUUGUAAAUGAAGUUCCCUGAUUCAUCCAAGCAUUGAUCUUUAAACUAUUUUUCCAAUAUCAAUGAACAGUCAUGAUAAUGUCAUAGGAGGCCUUGUCACUUGUGAUACCAAAUUUGUAAAGUCACAGCCAAAGGAUUUCAAUAGGUUCAAGUCAAUAUAUUAUCUCUAAAAUUCAUUUUUGAAGAAGAAGUAGGUCCAGCAAUUUCUUUCAUAUCGCAAUAUUAUUUUAUAUUGAACGAUUGUAGGCCAAUAUGCCAAGUUGAAUUACACUGUUUGAAUAGUUGAUCACAGAUUCACAGAAGGUUCGAUGAACUCGAUUUAUUUCCUUCAUUGUUCAUGGUAUUCACGUCCUUAAUCCUUUUGUACACCAUGAAAUAUCACCAACCUAUCACUCAAAAC
Paramuricea clavata is the source of this 1647-nucleotide non-coding RNA. The record is from the annotation of a GenBank genome assembly. Lineage: Eukaryota; Metazoa; Cnidaria; Anthozoa; Malacalcyonacea; Plexauridae.